GAAUUGCAGAAUUCAGUGGAAUCAUCGAAUCUUUGAACGCACCUUGCGCCCUUUGGCUAUUCCGAAGGGCAUGCCUGUUUGAGUAUCAUG
This 90-nucleotide ribosomal RNA is filed under the name uncultured fungus. RNAcentral's name for it is "partial 5.8S ribosomal RNA". It matches the Rfam family "5.8S ribosomal RNA", at positions 69 to 154 of the family's 154-position model. From Rfam's summary of the family: 5.8S ribosomal RNA (5.8S rRNA) is a component of the large subunit of the eukaryotic ribosome. It is transcribed by RNA polymerase I as part of the 45S precursor that also contains 18S and 28S rRNA. The record is from RNAcentral. Lineage: Eukaryota; Fungi.